GACGAACGCUGGCGGCGUGCUUAACACAUGCCAGUCGAACGGAAAGGCCUCUUUCGGGGGGUACUCGAGUGGCGAACGGGUGAGUAACACGUGAGUAACCUGCCCUUGACUUUGGGAUAACUUCAGGAAACUGGGGCUAAUACCGGAUAGGAGCUCCUGCUGCAUGGUGGGGGUUGGAAAGUUUCGGCGGUUGGGGAUGGACUCGCGGCUUAUCAGCUUGUUGGUGGGGUAGUGGCUUACCAAGGCUUUAACGGGUAGCCGGCCUGAGAGGGUGACCGGCCACAUUGGGACUGAGAUACGGCCCAGACUCCUACGGGAGGCAGCAGUGGGGAAUAUUGCACAAUGGGUGGAAGCCUGAUGCAGCAACGCCGUGUGCGGGAUGACGGCCUUCGGGUUGUAAACCGCUUUCGCUCAUGACGAAGCUUUGUGUGACGGUAGUGGGUAAAGAAGCACCGGCUAACUACGUG
This 467-nucleotide ribosomal RNA is filed under the name uncultured bacterium. RNAcentral describes it as "partial 16S ribosomal RNA". It matches the Rfam family "Bacterial small subunit ribosomal RNA", at positions 28 to 507 of the family's 1533-position model. The record is from RNAcentral.